ACCUACGGGGCGCAGCAGUGGGGGAUAUUGCACAAUGGGGGGAACCCUGAUGCAGCGACGCCGCGUGGGUGAAGGAGCGCUUCGGCAUGUAAAGCCCUAUCGGCAGGGAAGAAGCAAGACGGUACCUGACUAAGAAGCCCCGGCUAACUACGUGCCAGCAGCCGCGGUAAUACGUAGGGGGCGAGCGUUAUCCGGAUUCACUGGGUGUAAAGGGAGCGUAGACGGCCAUGCAAGCCAGGGGUGAAAGCCCGGGGCCCAACCCC
RNAcentral lists this ribosomal RNA (263 nucleotides) under uncultured bacterium. RNAcentral describes it as "partial 16S ribosomal RNA". It matches the Rfam family "Bacterial small subunit ribosomal RNA", at positions 337 to 616 of the family's 1533-position model. The record is from RNAcentral.